This is a non-coding RNA of Macaca mulatta (Rhesus monkey), 1177 nucleotides long. NCBI's taxonomy places the organism in Eukaryota, Metazoa, Chordata, Mammalia, Primates, Cercopithecidae. The record is from RefSeq and is a predicted model, not a curated record.
CCUCACCUCUGCCGCUACCUCUCAUGCACAGAGCCAACUCUUCCACGGUAUUUCUGAUGCAGAGUCAUCCAGUCUGUGGAAAGUUUUCACGUCCUGCCAAGAAACCCUCUUCACUGAGACCUGGCCCUCUUCAUUAAGAAAUUCCUGCUUUGUAUAACAAAUGGGUCUUUUUUUUUUUUUUUUUUUAAUGCUCAGACACUCAUCAUCGUCCAGUCUCCUGGAGCCAUGUGGAGGAAAACACUCCACCUCCCUCAGAACAGGGUUUCAAUAACUGAGGGCACCUUUGACGACUCUCAGUGUCUUCUUCAGGCCAAGCCAGAGCAAGCUGGCUCUGCCAUGCCCUGCAGAUGGAGCAAUGUCUCACAACAGCACUCAGGAUGAGAGCUACCAAGUGAUUGAUAAUCCAGCUCUGAAUCCGUCCACGGAACUCACACUGUCAGCUCACUAUAAGCUUAUUGCCAACUAAAACGCCCAGCUCCAUGCCUGGCUGUCUGGGCCCGACAGUCCCUCCAAAUCUAUACUUCAGCAGCUGAUGUUUUGGUGGUUUCUUCUAAAGGUGAGACUUCAUAGAUGGCCCUGUUAAAUUUGCUUUUCUUGGUCUUGGUCCAGCAUUGUAUCUGGUCAAGGUGAUUGAGAUAGGGAAAGAAAAGAAGAUGACAAUACAAACUAUAAGGAUGUCUAUGAAGUCCAAAAUGAAAUAAAUGCAAAAUAAAGAGGUCUCAACAUAAUCGGGAAGAGUAAUAAACUUCAGGGGCAGGGCCAAGGGUGUAAGUCACAUAAUACUAGGCAAUGGUUAGGGAACGGGGUGCCUUUUCCUUCCGCCUCUGUCCAGAUGUAAGGGGAGCCGCAUUCACAUGGAAAUGCACCUUGUGAAAAGCUAAAUACCUCAUCAGAAACACGCGCUGUGAAAAGCAGGACGUCUCUCAGCAAAACAUUUGUCUCUGUCCUGUCUCCAAUAUGGAUUUUGCAAUAGUUUUAGAGACGCCAGUCAAGUAGAUGGGAACAUAAAAAUAACCUGCCUUAACUGUGUUCUCUGUCCCAUAUCAAACACUAAAACUGAAUUAUGUUUCCACAUAUUCCUAGCUGUCCUAUAAUCACCUUUAUUUAUGACAUGCAUCUGGUAACGGAGGGCAAAAUACAUAAAAUUCCUUAAAAGAAUUAAAUGGACUAAAAAUUA